UACGUAGGGCGCAAGCGUUGUCCGGAAUUAUUGGGCGUAAAGAGCUCGUAGGCGGUUUGUCGCGUCUGUCGUGAAAGCUUGGGGCUUAACCCCAAGUCUGCGGUGGAUACGGGCAGACUAGAGGCAGGUAGGGGAGAACGGAAUUCCCGGUGUAGCGGUGAAAUGCGCAGAUAUCAGGAGGAACACCUGCGGUGUAGACGGCUUACUGGACCAUAACUGACGCUGAGGCACGAAAGCGUGGGUAGCAAACAGG
This 253-nucleotide ribosomal RNA is filed under the name uncultured bacterium. RNAcentral's name for it is "partial 16S ribosomal RNA". It matches the Rfam family "Bacterial small subunit ribosomal RNA", at positions 524 to 776 of the family's 1533-position model. The record is from RNAcentral.